AGAACUAGGGUGGUUUAAUUUUAAGUAAAAAAGUAACUUUGCUGGGAAAGAUUGCCGGAAGAGUAUAUGACGGCAAAGCUUUAAUGCUAUAAAAACACUUCAAUUCCAGGCCAUAUUUUUCUUUUUAUAAUCCACGGCAAAAGCAGGUGACUCAAAACGUCGCGUCGGUAUAUAAAGUCACCCCCUCGCCCUAGUAGCAAAAAUACGAAUAAAAUACUAUUUCAAGAUACGGUAUUUAUCUGUAUCAAAAUACGUAUUUUAUACUUUGAAAAUAGAUAUUUUAUCUCGUAUUUAAUACAUGAUAAAAUAUGGUAUUUUUUCCAGUAUUUCCAGGGUUUAAAAUACUGUAUAUAGGUAUCAUAUUUAUACCGUAUUUGGAUAUGAUAUUUAUACAGUAUUAAUACUAUAUUUACACAUUACUUAUUAAUGGUCGAAAAAAUUUCUGGCACUCACUUGCGCGAUUAAUUUAUAUUUCGAAUGCGUUUCGCCAGCUCUCUCUUCGGCAUCCUCAGCGCGACCCCGCGUGGAGUUGCGCUGUGGAUGCCGGAGAGAGAGCCGGCGAAACGCGUCCGCAAUAUAAAUUUAUCGCGCGAGUGAGUACCAAAAAUUUUUUCGAUAACUUUCUUGUGCAAGUCUCAAAAAUAUUUUUAUUCAGUAUUAAUGUGAUGAUAAUUUGCUGGCCUUAUGGAUUCCAUACAAUGAGCUGGGACAGACGGUGGAGUAAAGGUCAGCAAGACCAAUAAACAAUCUUCCAAUUACAACUUCACAAUUCAGAUCUUCGGAGAAGGCCAAAUUUUCAAUUCUCAUGAUUUCACCAUUUUCGAAGCCACAGCAACUGUUUGCUGUAGAAGCAGUUGUCAAUUUGAAAGAUGGAUAAAUUAUCCAAGUAUACUGAGGGCUCCGGCAACCUUCAAGGAGAGGACCUCUAUUAUGGAUACCACCAAAGGACACGUCCUUUGAUACUAUAGUAACUCUUUUCUUUUGCACAUAUUCGCUCUGUAAACCUUCAGCAAUUCUUCGCCCACAUUGCUCUAUUUUCUUGGGGUAGGCUCGAGCUUGACGCUUCAAUUCCUGCAUGAAGUUUUCAAAAUCAAAUGUUGAAACAGUAUCAGCUGUGCAGAAGGGAAUGAUCUCACGGAAGAACCUAAUAUCAUCCGGUAAGUGAAUCAGGUUGUGCAUCAUAUGCGUCAUGAAAGUGAUUGUGUAGAGAGCAGGUACGGCACUAACAAAACUUUUCAACAGCUGCUCAGCAUAAUUAAGUUGAUCUGGGUCGGAGCAGUGUUUCGGGCUGACUAAAAUUAAAAUAGCCAAAUGGAACAUUAUGAAAUGAUUAUAACGGUCUGGCUGCAAAACGUCUUUUAAAAGUACAGGACCCAGGUACAAAAGCCAAGUACGACACUCAGUUGCUUUAUAAUGAGCUAAAACUUCGAUGCGUCUAGGUUUUUGUCCUGCAAACUCAUAGGGUAAAUCAGCGCUAUGUUGGACUAUUUCCUUGGAAACUCUUUGCUUCAUAUGUGCUCCUACUUUGAAUUUGGAAUCGUUGUCAAACCACACUGUCAGGAAGAAUUUCAUUCCGCCAUGCAGAGUUAAAUGUUGAUAAUCAAGACUCAUCGAAUGACCAAAAUCCAAACCGGGAAUUUUCAGGAGCGGUGUGUUUCGACCAGGAGGUCUAUGAGCAGUGUCAUCUCUGUUCCUGAACUCCAAGUCUGUCCUUGCUUCACAGCUGACUUCGUUGAAAAUUCGCUUAUGUGAUUUCUUCACUGUUUCACCUCUUACAGUGACAACUUCAAUGUCUUCCCCUUCUAUUUUACACCGGGUACAAGAGAAAUAUCCAUUAGGGUACACAAUGCCAAGCAGGAGCGAUUUGGCAGGACCAUCACAUGCAAAACCACCUACAACAAUUUCAUAAGUUACCCCGUUCACUUUCAAACCGUUUGAGGUUAGAUUGCAGAGUUCUUCAAUGAAUUCUUUCAAAAACUCUUCAUUACUGGCCGGCUUAUUAACACCAUAGUAUAACGCAACAGGCAUAACUUUACACUUGAUUCCAGCUGCUAUUAAGCGCAUUAGAAUAGGCCAACAGCAAUCAUUACAGUGUUUGACCAUAUUUAAACCAUCAAUAUUGAAGAAAAAAAUUAAUCUUCUGAGACCAAUGGGCAAAUAUGGAAUUAGAGGGAUAAUUUGAGUUUCCAUUCCUAUGUGAAUAUAUUUACCAGGAAUGUCCGAAUUAAGAGCCUUCACUUCUCGAUAAUCGGUUUUGCCAUUGGGUGUUUUGAAGUAAGUGCGGGCAUCAAUCUUCAAAUUCAAAAAGCACUGCGGAUGCGCACACUUCAAUUUGCGAGCAAGGGAACUGAGUUGCUCAUGGCUGACAUCAGCUUCGAAUGCCCAAUCAGUCAAAACAGUUGUGAUUGAUGUAGAGGGGUCAUCAUCACAACGCGCAGGUAUACUGUCUACCGAGGCAAUAUUUGGUGGUUCAUGGCUGUUCGGAAAUUCAAAAUUAGGCAAGGGAAUGGGUUCAUCUUCAUCUUCUGAUUCAGAAUCAAAAAUGGGAGGACGCUGACAGAAUACUUCCUCAAUGGGAGACUCAGGGAGCUGAUGGACAUGGUCAUGGGACAAUUCAUUAUCUUCCUCUGCUUGCAGAUCAGAGGCCGCAGAGAGUUGCUCGGAGGACUUUUUGCUCGUCUCCAACAGUGACUCUCUGGGAGUGCCUUCGCGAAUAUCAUCAUGUUUCCUCUUUCUGGCUGCCGCAAGGCGUUUUACUUUCCCGCUCUCCGAUAAAAAUGCAAAGGGCUUUGACAUGUUGUCAGGCACAGGCAGUCACAGAAUCCUAGAACAAGUAAGAACACCUAAAUGGUAGCUGACUUUACCUCAGUGUUGUUUGAAGCAUUCACUUUCCCUUCCAUAGUGGAUUUAGAGCUCACGCAUCGUAUGUUGAGACAAACGUCAAUCUCCGUUUAGCUCUGAAUUUGCACCACUCAACAGGGUAAUACAUGGAGUCAGGUGGCACCACUGGUGAAUGGUGGCAUAAGCAAUACUUUGACGUUUGUCUCAACAUACGAUGCGCGAGCACUACCGUGAGUCUUGUCUCCAAACCAGCAUGGCUUCAGAAGAAAUCACUCACUGGAUGAUAAUCACAAUAUAUUAAAUAAGGAGAUCUGGGACUCGGGGAGGCAUUUGAAGACGAUGAAUGUUGUCACAAUCGUCCUCUAGGUUCUUAUAUGGGUUCUUAUGACACAGCAUGGCCUAACGAGUCUCAUUAGGCCAUGAUGACGCAGUAGAUACCACUAUAUAAUUCGAGUGUUAUAUGAACACAGAAUCCUGAAACAAGUAAAAAUACCUAAAUGGUAGAGAUGUUCUUACCUCGGUAUUAAUUGAAGCUGAAGCAAUUUCUUCAUUCGACUCCAUCGUGCACCUUUCAAGAACUUCAAAUACACCAGUGCAAAUGCAAAUGCAUGCAAAAUUACGCGCGAACAAAACAAAACACUGCCGGCGCCGGGAGUCCCGAUGUUCGGUGAGACCGUAACCGUUCGGUGAACCAGUAACCGUUUCCGUCGGCAUCGCAGCCACGUGGCGCGCAAUUUUAAAUAUCUGGUAUAAAUACCUAUAUUUGGAUCCGAUAUUCAUUGAAUAUUCUGAUACGGUUCAAGUGUAAGAUAAAUACGUAUUGAAUAGCGAUGAUCGAAUAUCGAAUAUUGAUACAGUAUAAAAAUAGUAUAAAUACGUAUUAAAUAGAGGUAUUGGAUAUUAAAUAUUGAUACAGUAUAAAAAUAGUAUAAAUACGUAUUCAAUACGAUAUUUAUACGUAUCUCUCUGAGACGUAUUACUGUGGGGAUGAGGAUACGUAUUUUUGCUACUAGGGCGGGGAAGAAACAACCCAGGCACCCUGUUUUAUUUAUUAUGCAAAACGUCUUAAAAACGUUUUGUCAAUAAUUCGGUCUUUCAAAAUAUUUAAUGAGAAGUUUUUCGUUAUAAAAGUCCAUUUAUUACUGAAUUUAUGUUAAUUUUGGCUCUCCUCAAGCUUGCACAUGAAUAUUCAGCUUAAUUCUUCACAACUUCCCCUUCAAACUUUGUAUGUUGAAAUUUCUUCGCACCGAAAAAUGGUAGCUUGGCGUUUUGAAUGCCAAAAAUGUGUCUGGGG
RNAcentral lists this long non-coding RNA (4135 nucleotides) under Bemisia tabaci. RNAcentral's name for it is "lncRNA ENSSSA1UGG004376". The record is from RNAcentral. Lineage: Eukaryota; Metazoa; Arthropoda; Insecta; Hemiptera; Aleyrodidae.